RNAcentral lists this unclassified non-coding RNA (2841 nucleotides) under Hevea brasiliensis (rubber tree). The record is from RNAcentral. Lineage: Eukaryota; Viridiplantae; Streptophyta; Magnoliopsida; Malpighiales; Euphorbiaceae.
UCCCAUAAAUUAAAGUAAAAUCUCUUUAAUUUCAACAGUUUGGUCAUUUAAUUUUCUAUAAUCAAUACAAAAUCUCCAAGUAAAAUCCUUCUUAACUAAUAGGACAGGAGAGGAGUAUGGACUAGAACUAGGCUGUAUCACUCCAUUAGCUAGCAUCUCAGUGACCAAUUUUUCAAUUUCAGCCUUUUGAAAGUGGGGAUAUCUAUAGGGUUCUGACAUUAAUAAUUGGGGUAUUAUCUUGGAGGGGUAUCGAAUGGAUCUAGGUUCUAAAUGGAGGCAAAGACUUAGGUUCUUCAAAUAAGUCCUUAUAUUUAUCUAGUAGCAAUUUCAUUACCUGAUUCCUCAACAACAAAAGAAUGAGCUGCAGGUGCAACAGAAUGACCCACAAGCUGCUUCUGAUGUUCUGGAACUUCAAUACAAAACAAUGGACUCUGAAAAUCCUUCCCCUGCACAUGCAAUAACUCCUGUACAUCCUCACAAGGCAGCAACUGAAAAUUGUCACUAUGUUCCAGCAUACCACACAAAGUAACCUGCUUCCCAUCCUGCAUAAAAGGCACCUUAGAAGCCUCAAAAUCAAAUAAAAUUAGAUUAAAUGUCUUCAUCCGAUCUACUCCAAGAAUUAUGUCAAAACUCCCCAAAUCCAAUACUUGCAAAUAAGAAAAAAAAAAAUUAUUCUUUACCCCACCUUCCAUGGAAACUUAAAACAAGUACUAGAUGAAAUUAAUUUCCUACCAUCAGCUACUGAAAUAGGAACAGCAGCAGUACUUACCAAAGGCAACUUCAAUUCCUUAUCAACUCUAGUAUCUAUAAAACUCUUAGUGCUGCACCAUCAACUAGGAUCAAUAACUUCCUAUUUUUAUGCUGCCCAAUCACCUUAUUUGUCUCCACACCCUGACUGCCCUCAAUAGCAUGCGCAGAAAGUGUUACUUCCCCCAUACUAUUCAACACAUCUUCCCCUUUCUCCUGUCCAACAGCUGUACACUCCACUUCCUCACAUUCAACAGGAUGCUCAACCCAACAAUCCCCUUCUUGAUCAUCUACAGAUAAUGCCAUCACAGUCUUCUGUUUACACACAUACCCAGGAAAAUUGGUUUCAAACAGAGUUGAAUUUCAAAUAAGGAUCCAUGUAGUUGAUCCCAACUAGUUUGGGAUUGUGGCACAGUUCUUCUUCUUCUUGUUGUAUAUCCUUAAAUCAAAGCCAAAGAAGAUGAUGUUUUGUAGAGUAUUUUGCACUCUCUCUCUCUCUCUCUCGUCGUCACAAGUUCAUAUUUUUUAUUUCUUAACUUUAGCUGUUAUUUUUUAUUUUUUUGUUGGUUCUUCUGCCUUUCCAAUGAGGCAUCCUGCCAUUAAUUGUUAUUGUAUUAUUCUUUAUCAUCAUUACUCCGCCCUUUGCUUUGACAGUUGUUUCUCUGCUCUACUUGUCCAGGCUAAUCAAAGGCCUUUCAUUUCUUUAAUGAUGGCCUACAUUUUUAAUGCAAUGACACAUUUAGCAAUUGAAGUUCGGCUUAUGGCUUUCAAGUGUUUUGAUCUCAUUGUACAGCAUUAUCCUGCUGUGUUUUCCUUGUAUGCUAAAAAGGUAACUUAAUUUGGAUCAUGCGAUUCAGACGUUUGGAGUGCAUCAUUGAUGCUUUGUUUUUGAAUACACACACACACUCUAUUGAUGACCAUAGCUGGUGAUAGAAACUGCAUCAUGUUUUGAGUUCAAAUGUCAAAUUUCUGUUAAUUAUUCAUUUCUUAUAAAAGUACAAGAUUAUGGGUCAUAUUAAUGUUGAAAUGGAAGGGAAAUGAACAAUUUAUACAUGGUAUAACUAGAGGAGUGCAUAAUGACCACGGAUACAUUAUUUUAGUUUUUCACCUUAUAGUUGCUUGAGGGACAUCUUUCUUUUACUUUAAAUCUUCAAGAUUUCUUUGUGUUUCUACAUAGAUUGUUUAGGGUAUGAGUGAAUCAUUUUGUUGGUGCAUAGGUUGUAGGACUUUUAUUUAAUGGCAAAAAAAGUACGCAUUCAGUUGUCAAUCAAUCUCAUAUAUAAUCGAAUCUUAAAAAAAGUUAGGAAUUCAUCCAAUUCCUCACCUAUUGUCCAUAUAUUGUCAAUAUGAACUUUAGUUGAUAAGAUUUUUGCAAAUGAUCUUUCAUUUGUUGUUGAUUAAUAGGUUCUUCAAAAUUAUGCGGAUAUUUUGUUGAAGAACCAGUUCUAUUUAGAAGACAAGGGCAAGCUCGAGAGUGCGCUUGCUAGUUUGGUGCGCUGCUUAUUGCUAUUGCCAUCUAAUAAAGUAGAAGUUGACUCAUUCAAGAAGGUUCUCUCCCCAAAUUUAUUGCAAAGUAGAAGUUUUUUAAGUCUUUUCCUUUGUUGCUUUUUGAUUGCCUAUUAUUUUCUAAAAAUCUCUUCUUCAAUUUGAAAGGAAGUCCCAGGGCAAGAUUUGUUGCAUGCUUAUGAACCUGACAGGCCUACAGAAUUUGCUGAUUUUUCUGUCAUCAUCAAUGAACUAAAGGAUUUCGUUCCAGUUUUAGUCAAUUGCUUCCAAGCCUUUAUUCCAUUAAUUCAUAGUGCGCCGCAAUUGGAUGCACAAUCAUUUGAUUGCUUACGUAACAUACUUCCUAGCAUUGACCUUAUAGUCAAAUUUUUUGUUUAUGCGACUGACAAGGGUAAUCCAGAAUCAUAUGCUUCUAUGUGGGAUCAAGGCAUCUCAUCAGUGCUACUAAAGAAGUUCCUAGGUGUAUUUCCUUUUAAUGUAGUGCACUCAGAAAAGGUAGGACCUUAUGUUUACUUGCAAUGUGUUUCUCCAUCAAUUUGUUUGGCUUAGAAGAUUGGAAAUAGGCGAAAAGAUUGCAUAAGAAGAAAG